CACGUAGGGGGCAAGCGUUGUCCGGAUUUAUUGGGCGUAAAGAGCUCGUAGGCUGUUCGAUAAGUCGGGUGUGAAACCUCCAGGCUCAACCUGGAGACGCCACCCGAUACUGUCAUGACCAGAGUCCGGUAGGGGAGCGUGGAAUUCCUGGUGUAGCGGUGAAAUGCGCAGAUAUCAGGAGGAACACCGGUGGCGAAGGCGGAUCUCUGGGCCAUUACUGACGCUGAGGAGCGAAAGCGUGGGGAGCGAACAGG
RNAcentral lists this ribosomal RNA (254 nucleotides) under uncultured bacterium. RNAcentral describes it as "partial 16S ribosomal RNA". It matches the Rfam family "Bacterial small subunit ribosomal RNA", at positions 524 to 776 of the family's 1533-position model. The record is from RNAcentral.